UAGACAAACGCUGGAAUAUUAUUAUUCUUGAGGAAAGUCCAUGCUCACACAGUCUGCGAUGACUGUAGUGUUCGUGCUUAGGGAAUAAAUAACCUAAGGUAGGUAAUACUAACGGAGGAGGAUGUUCUAAGUCUUUUAUGAUAUGAACUAUUCUAUAAAGUGCCACAGUGACGAUACUUCUAGAAAUGGAAGGGUGAAACGUGGUAAACCCCGCGAGUGAGAAACCCAAAAUUGGUAGGGGAGCCUUAAUGAAAGAAUUGAAUGGAGUUAAGGACCAGUAAUGGUAGAUAAAUGUUUGUCGCCUGGUAACAGGUACAGAACAUGGCUUAUU
Molecule: RNase P RNA, 331 nt
Filed under: bovine gut metagenome
Description: Bacterial RNase P class B
Rfam family: Bacterial RNase P class B
About the family: Ribonuclease P (RNase P) is a ubiquitous endoribonuclease, found in archaea, bacteria and eukarya as well as chloroplasts and mitochondria. Its best characterised activity is the generation of mature 5'-ends of tRNAs by cleaving the 5'-leader elements of precursor-tRNAs.
Source: RNAcentral